GCGCGCUGUAGUUGUCUGGUUGGCUGUGGGCUGGGUUUCCAUGACCUGAUCAAAUGCAGAUCAUAACAUCAGUAAUAGAUUUUAAUAAAAAUGGAGAAAGAUCGAACAAUAAACUCAGAAAAUAUCAGCAGCUCCCGCUGUACCUUCUUCACUACACAGCCGGACGAUUAUCGAUGUGAAGUGAUUCUUGCUGUAAAAAAGGCCACUGGGACGUUUUCUCUAGUAGCAUGGUAGGCAUAUUUUAUACAUAUCUCUCAGAAUAAUUUCCCAGACGCUGUAAAUAAAUAUUGAUGCUCUUUUCUCUCUGCAGUCUCUUUAUGCUGUUUGUGAUUUGGCUGCUGAGGAGAUAUAACUCUCUGGCUCAGAAGAUGAUAGUGAGUCUAACAGUGGCAGCGUUCUUUGACAGUGUUGCAUAUGUCAUGGGAGAGUCUCAUCCAGAGGGCACUCUGUGUAAUUUCCAGGCCUGGUGGUUAACGUAUUUUGACUGGAGUGCGCUGGCCUGGGUGUGUCUCAUCACCUGGAAUCUCUACCUGAACCUCGUCAGAGAGAUCAGAACCGAUCAUUAUGAGAUACUGUACCAUAUAGUUGCGUGGGGGAUUCCCCUCCUAAUGUCCGCACUCCCUCUAAUUCAAGGAUACUACGGUCCAGCUGGAGCCUGGUGCUGGAUCACAGAUGAUCAUGUGGCCUGGAGGUUUGGGAUAUGGUACGUCCCACUCUUCACUCUUAUCCUCCUCAUGAUCUGCUGUUACGCUCGUAUUAUCUACGUGGCCAGUGAUAGGGUGAGUAACAUUCAGUAAAAUGCGUGUAAAAUGAAAAUGAAUGAAUUGAACAGGAAGUGAAUGUACAGAUAAUAUGCUGAUUUCAUUCGUCUCUUCAGUGAAUUCCAGAGUGUUGAGUGUUGCUUUCGCAUAGCUUUACUAGACUUGACUAUCUGGCUAGAAAGUGAGCAGCAUUCCUCCUGCUCUUUGUUUGUGGUGGUAAUGCUGACUCCUGAGGGCUGAUGAACUAUAGAACACCGUUCUGCAAUCUAGAACAUUCUGCUGCACAGAGCAUGGUUUUUCUAAUGACUAUAUAUAUAUAUAUAUAUAUAUAUAUAUACACAAAUAUGCAUGUAUGCUGAUAUUUGAGAUAUAGACAAAAAAAUAAAUGGGAAAAUUGAAUAAAUAUAUCUUGUGUG
This 1177-nucleotide long non-coding RNA is filed under the name Astyanax mexicanus (Mexican tetra). RNAcentral describes it as "lncRNA (ENSAMXG00005000048.1)". The record is from RNAcentral. Lineage: Eukaryota; Metazoa; Chordata; Actinopteri; Characiformes; Acestrorhamphidae.